GUUGUUACUGAGGUAGAAAAAAAAUAAUUUGCAAAAGAGAAAAACACGUUUAUAAAACUUGCAAAAAAAAAAAAAAAAGAAGAAAAAAAAAAGACAGACAAUUGUUCAUCAAUUAAACACCCCAAACCUAUAUUUUUCCCCAAUUUCGGAUUCCUCAUACCUCUCUUCCUGUCACUGCAAGCAGCGCCUCCAAACCGAAAGUUGACACAUCCAAACACCAAAUAUUGUAGCUGGAAAAUCGCGAGUCCAGAAACUCCAAAAUAGCGAGACCCGUCAGUGGCUGAUUUUGUGACCUAUUCAUGGCCGAGUUCGUGACAAUGGCUAGCUUUGAGCAUGAAUAUACGGGUAUUUGUUUAUUUUUUUAGACUCACAAACAUUCAAACGCAUAUCAUUUGGGUUUUUUUUUCUUUUAUUAAUGAAGGAGAUUUGCAUGCCAUUUUAUCCCUGGUAGUAACAUGUAACUUGUUCAUCAUUAUCUAUAUUGAAAGUCAUUUUGUCCCAAAUUCACAACCUGCAUCUGUUUGUAGUUUAUGUUGCCUGUUGGAUUGGAAUGGUUCAACCUUUUUUGUAGUUAGUGUAUCUAUACUUUAUGGAUAUGUGGAUUUAUAUAUUUGUUUUUAUGAUUGCAGAUGAAGAUCCCGAUUUCAAUUACUUGGACUAUGAUGUAUACGUGAUGACGAUUGCCUAUUUGAUCGUAAUGUGACCGAAGGCAUUGAAAUAGGUAUGCAUAUUGUGGAACAUGAAGAACGCCAAGAAUUAGAUAGCUCUUUGUAUGCAUCGUCAGAGGAGUUAAACUUCUUAAGUGGUUCAGAUUCGGAGGGGAAUAGUGGUAGACCCAAUUUUCCAAAAUAUUUUGUUGGUAGUGUAAAGAGGAAUCCUCAACUUGAGAUGGGGUUAUUGUUUGUGAAUUUUGAGGAAUUAAAAUCUGUGGUGAGGGAUUAUGCGGUCUUCAAUCAAGUUGAACCAGUUUUCAAACGCAACGAGAAAAAUAGAUGGCAUUGUGUUUGCAAGGAUGAUUGUCCAUGGAAGUUGUGAGCUUCGAAGAUACAAGGUUGAGACAUGGUCCAGAUCAAAAUGUACAACCCCAGGCACACUUGCUGUAAGGCACGUACUAAUAAGUACCUAACCUAUAAAUGGUUGGCCAACUACUAUUUGGAUAACUUCACAUCCAAACCUGAGUGGAAGAUAAAAAAUAUCAGAGCUAUAGUUAGAAAGGAUUUAGGAGUGCACAUCAUAAGAGGGUGGAUUCGAAUGCUAGAAAAUAUGCCAAAGCAUUAGUAGAGGAAAGUGAAGGAACAGUUUGCGAUGUUAGGGUGCUAUGCAACAGAAUUGAGGAGAACAAAUCCAUAUUCAACUAUGCUUAUCUCUCAAGUAGAUAAUGUUUUCAGGGGUAUUUAUGUCUGUAUAGAGGCAUGUGUGGACGCUUUGUCAGUGUUGACAGAUGUUUUCUAAAAGGGAAAUUUGGUGGUCAACUACUAGCAGUUGUUGGCAUAGAUGCGAAUGAUUGUAUUUACCCGAUUGCAUAUGUAAUUGUAGAGAGAGAAAUAACACUAGUUGGUGGAGGUGGUUUUUGAUGUUGUUGUCUGAAUUAUUUUCAGAAGCUGAACAUAUAUUUGUGUUAGGCAUAUGCAUCAGAAUUUCUUCAGGAGUGACUUUAAGGGUAAGGAAUUGAAAGACUAUUUGUCGAUGGAGCAAAAUCCAGUCACUUAGCAUCAUUUAAAUAUUGGAUGGCUAAGAUUGAAAGUGCCAAGAAGGAGGCACAUGGAUGGUUGAUGAAGAAGUCACCAAACGAAUGGAGUAGGUCUCAUUUUUCAGAUCAAUCGAAGUGUGAAAUGCUCAUUAAUAACCUCUGUGAAUGCUUCAAGAACUUCAUUUUGGAAAAAGGGAUAAAUCUUUUAUAGAUAUGUUGGUAGGCAUUCAGAUGAAACUCAUGCACAGAAUUCAGGUGAAGAGGGACAAGUUUAGAAGUUACCAAAACCCAUAUGUCCCAAAAUACAAAAGAAGUUGGGGAAAUGCUGUGAUGCAGCCCAUGAGUGUAUCUUGAGAUGGAACGGGCUAAACCAAUAUCAAGUUGAGUGUUAGUAUGGAGCAGUUGUUGUGGGCAUGGAAAAUAGAACGUGUGCAUGUAGGGGAUGGCUGAUUUCUGGCAUUCCAUGUCCACAUGUCAUUGCUUGCAUUUUAGAUAUAGGUCAUGAGAUAAAAGACUAUGUCUCCAAUUGGUACAAGGUCGAGACCUACAUGAGCAAGUACGAGAAUGUCAUAUAUCCCAUCAAUAGUUAGGAGUUAUGGCCUAAAAUGUGCACAUCCUCCUGUUUUGCCUUCUCCCUGGUAUGUUGCUUCAUAAGAAGAAAACAUAAAAAGAAAAGAAAAGAACCCGAUGAAGAUGGACAAUCCCAAUCACAAAUACAUUCACAAUCACAAGUAAGAAAAAAGGUGUUGUGUACAUGACGUGUUCCGUUUGUGGGGGAAAAAGGACAUAACAAAAGGCACCAUAAGUUCAUGGAAGCCAAGAGGGACUUGGAGAUUAGAAGCUGCAAAAGCACCUGCGGGGAUAAAAAAGUGGAUAUAUUUUGUUUUGUAUUUUGUUCAGAAGCAGCCAAAUCUAUCUGAUAAAUGUCGAAGUUUAUUUUGUAGUAUUUUGCUUUUCUGAUUGUUUAGAAGAAACCAAAUCUCUCUAAUAAAUGUCAGACUUUAUUUUGUAGUAUUUUGGUUUUUCGACUAUUUAGAAGAUAGGAUAUGAUUUUAUCUGGAGCAAUGUAAUUGCACUUGAAUUUUAUAGGCAUUUUGUGCACCUGCAUUUGCUGGUAAAUCUUGUGUUGUGUGUUGACUGGAAAAUUAUCAUG
This 2843-nucleotide long non-coding RNA is filed under the name Olea europaea subsp. europaea. The record is from RNAcentral. Lineage: Eukaryota; Viridiplantae; Streptophyta; Magnoliopsida; Lamiales; Oleaceae.